UACGUAGGGGGCUAGCGUUGUCCGGAAUCAUUGGGCGUAAAGCGCGUGUAGGCGGCCCGGUAAGUCCGUUGUGAAAGUCAAAGGCUCAACCUUUGAAUGCCGAUGGAUACUGCGGAGCUAGAGUACGGAAGAGGCGAGUGGAAUUCCUGGUGUAGCGGUGGAAUGCGCAGAUAUCAGGAGGAACACCAAUAGCGAAGGCAGCUCGCUGGGACGUUACUGACACUAAGGCGCGAAAGCGUGGGGAGCGAACAGG
This 253-nucleotide ribosomal RNA is filed under the name uncultured bacterium. Its description in RNAcentral is "partial 16S ribosomal RNA". It matches the Rfam family "Bacterial small subunit ribosomal RNA", at positions 524 to 776 of the family's 1533-position model. The record is from RNAcentral.